ACUUUAGCUUCCUUAAACCCUAAACCCUAAACCCUUAACCCAAAAUCCUCAACCCUAACCCUAAACCCUAAACUUUAAAAUCUAAAUCCUAAACCCUAACCUUAAACCCUAAACCUGAAAUCCUAAUUUAUAUUCCGAGAUCUAGUUGUAUUUCUAGUUCGGAUACUCAAUGAUACACAAAGAAUCUA
This 188-nucleotide small RNA is filed under the name Arabidopsis thaliana (thale cress). Its description in RNAcentral is "ATSL200810". The record is from RNAcentral. Lineage: Eukaryota; Viridiplantae; Streptophyta; Magnoliopsida; Brassicales; Brassicaceae.